This is a long non-coding RNA of Armigeres subalbatus, 218 nucleotides long. RefSeq lists it as uncharacterized. The transcript has 3 exons. The record is from RefSeq and is a predicted model, not a curated record. Lineage: Eukaryota; Metazoa; Arthropoda; Insecta; Diptera; Culicidae.
GGACAGUGAUUAGAAGCGGACGUGGUCCCAGAACAUUGUGGAAUCUUUAUAAAAGUGACUGUUAGCUGUUCGAAGAAGUAGAUAUUUGGAAAGUACAUAAAAGUAUAGUGGAAAUUAGGCAGGCCCAAGUGAGAGGAAACGCAGAUUUCCUAUAUCUUUUAAAGAUAUUAGCUGCCAUCAAACCAGCUAAACUUUGAAUCUGCUGCUCGAGGCUCAGG